CAAGUAUGGUGAGUGACUGCGUGAAAACGAGGAAAGUCCGAGCUACACUAAGACGGGGCUUCAUCUAACGGAUGACUAGGGCGACCUAAGGGAAAGUGCAACAGAAAGCAAACUACCGCUAAGCGGAAAAGGUGAAAGGGUAGGGUAAGAGCCUACCAGCAUUUAUGGCAACAUAAGUGGCUUGUAAACCCAGCCUGUAGCAAGAAGGGACGGUUUUGUCUUAGAUUAAAACCCUUCGCUUGAGCUAAUUUGUGAAAUUUAGCCUAGAUAAAUAGUCACUUUUAACAGAACUCGGCUUAUAGCUAUACUUGGGGU
RNAcentral lists this RNase P RNA (315 nucleotides) under Campylobacter corcagiensis. Its description in RNAcentral is "Bacterial RNase P class A". It matches the Rfam family "Bacterial RNase P class A". Rfam says of the family: Ribonuclease P (RNase P) is a ubiquitous endoribonuclease, found in archaea, bacteria and eukarya as well as chloroplasts and mitochondria. Its best characterised activity is the generation of mature 5'-ends of tRNAs by cleaving the 5'-leader elements of precursor-tRNAs. Lineage: Bacteria; Pseudomonadati; Campylobacterota; Epsilonproteobacteria; Campylobacterales; Campylobacteraceae. The record is from Rfam by way of RNAcentral.